Molecule: long non-coding RNA, 841 nt
Filed under: Anser brachyrhynchus (Pink-footed goose)
Lineage: Eukaryota; Metazoa; Chordata; Aves; Anseriformes; Anatidae
Description: lncRNA (ENSABRG00000018711.1)
Source: RNAcentral
GACAGAAACACCACUGCAGAACUUUUCUUCUACCUGAGGUUGGCGCUUAACUCCUCAGGAACAUGCUGGUUGAAGGCAAGAAGACUCGUGUUUGUUUUCUCCAAAGCAAAAGGCACAUUCCUGGCACAUGCUCAAGUAUGGAAGAAGAAGGGGAAGAGGAAGGGGGGGUCAUGUCCCCUCUGUCAAGCUCCCUGCCUUACAUAAGGGAGAAUUAACCUUAAGCAGGACAACUAAGAGCCCUGCAGUUAUGGAAUUCCCUAGUAAGACCAGACCUUCCAUCUUUUUCCUCAAUCACAGCAGGGCAGGUCUCAAAGACACAACAAAAAUGUUUCAUUUGGAAAAUAUCAAAAGGACCUGUUUCAGGAUUUCCAAAGUAAACUCAUUCUGGAGGAGGUCGAAGUGAAACAUCUGUCAGUCUCGUAAUCUCUUUCUCUCCUUCCACUGAGAAAUGGAGUUUAUGGGAAGGUACAGUUCAUUAAGAAAAGGAAAUUUGCCCCCUUUUCUUUACUAUUUCUGAAAACCAGGCCAUCAUACUGAAGAGCAUGAUUCGCAGAUUUAGUGGGAAACAUGCCUAAACCAGGCAAGAAGAAAAAUUCCAUGGAAAUCAACUUCCAAGUCAAACAGUUUCUGUAGGUCUGUGUUUGAAAUCUUCCCCCUGGAAGCCUAAGUUUAGGCAUCAGCUAAUUCAGUUUCUGGUCUUAUUAAAACAGCAUGAGAAGGAAAAACCAGCCAGACAACUCUGUAUAACUGUUGUAAUGUAAAUUAAUUCUAGUACUGUGAACACCUUAGGGUUACAUUCUUGUAACAUAAAUAUCAAUAAAGGAAAAAAAAAAAGCCUACA